CUUGGGCAAGGGACUUAACCUCUCUGUGCCUCAGUUUCCACAUCUAUAAAAUGGAGCCAAUACUAGUGUCUCCCUUCUAGUAAGUUGUGCGAUUCGGUGGGAUAGCACCUGAAUCAGUGGGAUCGUAGGCGCUGCUGUGCUUAUAAUCAAUGCUUGAUAAACAUUAGCUGCAGUGCCUAUUAGAGAAGCAAACAGUAACUUAUGUUGCUAUAGAACCUGCGUUUCAGGGCAAAAAUUCUUUGAAGAGAGGCAGUACUUUCAGCCUCUCAAGGUACUUUGUGACUUGCUAGAGCUUCACAGGGACACAGGUUGGGCUAAAAUUAUGGCUUGUGAGGCCUUCAUUUCCUGAUCUGUGAAAGGGAAUAAUAGCAGUGCUGACCUCACAGGGGUGUCUGAGCAUCGUAUGAAAUCAUGCACAUAAAACACUUACUCUGUGCUUUAUAUGCACUUAACAUACAUUACAUGUUAUUAUUUUCUGACAGUGGAGGACAAUGACAGCCAGUUUCACCUGUGGUCACACCAUAAGUGCCUAGCACAACACCUAGCACCUGGGGAACGUGCUCUUGCCGUCCUCGGUGGGCCCGGGGCGGGGAAGGGGGGGCGGCAGCAUGGUGACCCAGUUACACAUACAUAUAUACAUUCUUUUUCUUACAUUAUCAGGCUCUAUCAUAAGUGACCAGACAUAGUUCCCAGGGCUACACAGCAGGACCUCAUUGCUAAUUCAUUCCAAAGGCAACAGUCUGCAUCUAUUAAUCCCACGCUCCCAAACCAUCCCACUCCCUCCCCCUUGGCAACCACAAGUCUAUUCUUCAAGUCCACGAUUUUCUUUUCUGUGGAAAGAUCUAUUUGUGCUGUAUAUUAGAUUCCAGAUAUAAGUGAUAUCAUGUGGUAUUUGUCUUUCUCUUUCUGACUUUACUCAGUAUGAGAGUCUCUAGUUCCAUCCAUGUUGCUGCAAAUGGCAUUAUUUUGUUCUUUUUUAUGGCUGAGUAGUAUUCCAUUGUGUAUAUAUACCACAUCUUCCAAAUCCAAUCAUCUGUCGAUGGCCAUUUGGGUUGUUUCCAUGUCUUGGCUAUUGUGAAUAGUGCUGCAAUGAACAUGCGGGUGCAUGUGUCUUUUUUAAGGAAAGUUUUGACUUAAUCAGGAAGUUCCUGUUGUGAUGGAGGCUGUAAUUCAAACCCAGGCUCUUGACCGUAUGCUCUGUUGGCCCUGGAACUUACUAAUACUAUUGUAAUUUUUUCAUCACACCAUUUGACAGGUGAGGAAACUGAGGCAGAUCUUGUCCUGGGCUCUUGCCAGUCCCACGUUGUUCCUUAACCUACCUGGAGGAGAAAGAGAGAGAGGGGUAGGAGGGUGGAAGGGUUUAAGCGUCACUGUUAGAGGCCGGAGACUGAGGCAGCAGCUGCUUCAUCCCGAGUGGAGGUUGAGUCAAGGGAGGACGCCUCCCUGGCCUCAGGGAGACCAAAGCACGGGGUUGCCGCUUCUGCCAGAGGAAGACAAGACCCCCAGGCGGCCAGGAGUGCCAAAGCCAGCACUGCUUUCUGUCCGCACAGAGCUGAGUCCCCCCCUGGCUCCCCAGACAGCCCCUCCUCCAGAAAGUCCUCCUGGUCUCUCCCUCUAUUCCCAGGACUUCCGAGAGAGUCACCCAUGCUCCCAGAUGCUCCUCUGCCUUCAUUAAGAACUUUCCUAGCCAGAUUGUAAGCCCCCCGAGAACAGAAGCGGGUCUCCUGUGUCUGGAACUCUCAGGGAACCCUGGGUGACAUUUCUACACCCAGGAUGUCCAGAGCUUGAGAUCUGAGCCAGGGGUUCACGUCUUGGCUCUGCCACCUGCUGGCUGCAUGACCUCGUGCCAGUACCUUCCCUCCUGCCUCGGUUUCCCCACAUGUUAAGAAGUGACAGUGUGUUUGUCUGGAGUAUCUGUUAAUAGAUUUAACAACUGAGAUAUCAACCAAUCAGAACAACCAGAGCAGGGUCCCUAGGGACUCCCCUGCUAGGCCAGGCUUUAACCCUUUAUUUGCUGAAUUGUGGGGGAGGUCCCACCCAAGGCAGCAAAGGGGGCGAAUGACAGCAAAUCACUUACCAGUCCUUGGAGAGUUUCGAGCUUUUCCUAAACAACAGGAAGCUCAAAGUACCCACAUAAUUAAUAACUGCCAUUAUUAUUAGGGUACAAUGCGUUAGUUCAAUAUUUAACCUCCCCCCGCCCCCGCCGCCAUCAUUCAACCUAAACCAAUCACCAAAUGCUUCCCCACACAGCCUCUCACUGGCUGGCUCUCACUCAUGACACGAGUGAGUGACUGAUUUCACAUCUGGCCUGGAAGAAGCGGGGCAGUUUCCUCUUUUUGCUCCUUUGCUGGACAGGGAAUCGGGGACUCGGACCACCCAGACUGGGUUGGAGGCGUCCUCUGAGUUCCCUGGGCCUCCACCCUCUGCUUGCUCCAUCCCGUCUUGUGCUCAUCACACUGGUGGCCAUUGUCCAGGCUGUGUCUGUGUCCUCCUCCAGACCUGAACUCCAGCCACCAGAAACCACAACUGUCCAGUUCGCCUCUGUGGCUCCAGUGCCUGGAACAGAGCCUGGUACGUUGAAGGUGCUUGGUCCUUUUUUUGUUAAAUGAUUGGAGGAAUGAACAAAAGAAUGAAUGAUGCACAGUAGGGGUGAUGCUGCCUGUUACGGCCACAGAAUUAAGACUUCAACUCCAAGGCAUGGUGCCAUCUUUCUGGGUCCUUCACUCCUGCCUCCUUUUGACAAUGACAGUGGUUUUGACUUCCAGGUUUUCCCACCAAGGGCUGGGGACCCAAGCAGGCUUCCUCCUGGGUCAUCCAACAGUCACACGCUUUCAUGUCGUUGUCUGGAAGGAAUCAGCCCUCAGCAGCAACUACGGCCAACAGUGAUGACCAUGACAGCAGCAACCACUUAUCGAGUGCCACCUCUGUGCCAGGCGCCAUCCCCAGGGUUUCCCAUGGGUCUCCUCCUUAGUCCUCAGCCAGCCAGUGACUACCCAGUGUUGCACAGGGAGGGGCAGCCAGUGUCCCAGGGUCAUAUCGCUCAAUGGGAAGCUUGGAACCCAUGCCACGCUGCCAUGUGGCUCCCUGGUAGGCUGGAUAAUCAUAGCAAGAGCACCAUCUGUUUUUCCUGCCAGACCCAGCCCGCAGGGCCAAGAACUCUACAGGUAUUUAUUUUACUGAAUUCUCACGAAAUAACCUCAGAAUACGCUGAAGAUGAUCCUCCCGUUUAGAGAGGAAGAAACCAAGGUGAAGCACGAUCAAGGUACCGCUAGAGGACCGAGCUGAUGCCGAAAGCUUGGCAUUUGAGGGCAGUAUGGUCCUGUCCCUUCUGCUUCCCGCAGCAGGACCAGCUGCUUGGAUGGGGAGCUAGAGAUGGGCCAUAGUCCCUCCGGAGCCAGCCCUCCACAGUCUGCGGUGGGGGGUCUCUCUCUCUCUUCUAUGCUUUUCUGGGCCACCCAGGAGCUUCUUUAAUUAAUUCACGAAUUAUUUUUUAUUUUUUAUGGCCAUACCUGCAGCACAUGGAAUUUCCUGGGCCAGGGGUUGAACCUGAGCGGCAGCUUGACCUACGCCGUAGCUAUGGCAACGCUGGAUAUUUAACCCACCACCCUGGAGCCGGGGAUCAAACCUGUGCCUCUGCUGUGAUCUGAGCCGCUGCAGUCGGAUUCUCAACCCAUUGUGCCACAGCAGAAACUCCCACCCAGGAGCUUCUGGUGGCCUCUCUCCCCUCCUUUUCCCAGUGGGACCUGCCAAGAGGGACCCAUUUUCUUAAAGCCUCUCUGAGUGGCCAACACCCAGCUGGGUGCUCAUUUGGCCUGAUGAUCCAGCGCUUCCAUUUCGUGCGCUGCCUCUGCUCUUGGGGCUGGGUCCACACCUGUCGGCUUGCACCCCGGCACCGCUCCCUCCUCCCUCCACCUUGGCUCUGCCAGUCUUCCCACCUGGGGUCCCUGCUCCCCCUGUUUCACAUCUUUCCACAAGGCCCAGCUCACUCCCAUCCCCUGUUAGAAGCCUCUUUGACCAUUUAAUUCAUUUUCUUCAUGUUAGAGCAUCUUUUGUACCAAAGGGCCCGGAGAAAGGGACCAAGACCGACCAGCGGCUCAACUCAGCCAACACCCAGUGAGCCGAGCAGGAGUGUCCAAGAUAACGCAGGGGCUGUGACGGGCUCGGGACCCAAAGAGGCGAACAGGGUGGCAAGUGACUCGCUGCAUACGUGUGUGGUGCGUGGGUGUACGAGCUUCCUGUGGCUGCCAUCACAAGUCACCACAAACCGGGCGGCCUGAAACGACAGGGAUCUGUGCUCUUACAGUUUCAGAGACUGAACGUGUGAAAUCAGGGUGUCGGCAGGGCCUGCUCUCUCUCUCUCUCUCUCUCUCUCUCUCUCUCUCUAGGGUAGGCCCCUUCCCCGGCGCUUUUAGCUCCUGGGGCUCCUGGGGCUCCUUGCGCUCCGUCCCUGGGCUCCCGGCUGCCCUCCUCUCUCCUCCUCUGUCGUCACACGGCCUCUUCCUGGGUGUCUGUGUGUUCUCGCCUCUUCUCAUAAGGACGCCAGUCCUCAGAUCAGAGCCUUUAGCACUAAGAGCUGCACGUGACCUUGAUCACAUCAGCAAGGGCCCUGCGGCCUGAGAUCAGGACUUGAGCAUGUUCUGGGCGGGGGACGUCAUUCCACCCACAGCGGCGGGGGUUGCUAACUCGUGGUCCCUUCCUCUCUAAAGAGGUGCCCUGCUCAUGGUCUCUGAGCGCAGAGGGAUCUGCCCGGAGAAGCGCCGCAGGCAGACGCCACCGGGAGUGCAAAGCCCUGAGGAGAGACGUGUGCUUGGCACCUUCCGUGACCAGCAAGACCCGUGUGGCUGGAACAGAAGUGGGGAGAGCGGAGGAGGAGAGGAGACAGAGCAGGGAAACAGGCCGGGGGCAGAAUGACCCGGCUGUGGUGGGCAGUUGGAAGCGUAUGCUUGUGGUAACGGGGAGACUUUGGGGAGAGGGUGUGAGCUCUUCAUCUCUCCCUGGGAUCUUACUGACCACUGUGGCCUCUAGCCAGGAAGAGGGGCUGCUUAGACCCCGGUGGGAGGCUGCUGCAGGGGCCUGUGUCGGGAGGAGCAGGUGGGAGAAGUUGGUACUUCCCUGUCGUGGUGCCUUCUCCUCGUUGGUUCUCAAACUGCGUUCCCUGAGUCCUGGGCUUCUACAGGGAUGGUCCCUGUUUGGGGCACCCCCUGGGUAGAUGCCAUUCACUUCGUGAAGAAUAUGAACCCUUUCAGAUGUGUCUUCCUCUUAGCCUGGCCUGGACCCCCUCGUCAGCGCCUCCUCCCCUCUCUGCUAUCACCGGGAGUCAUAAGACUUUUCUCAGCGUUUCAUCUUGGUCCAAAAAUGUCCCUUAGCGCAUCCACCCUUAGCCAAUAACCCAGGAGCAGGGUGACUCAGUAAUGAGUAUCAGACUUGCCGUGGGACAAAACCACUUCCGUGGCGGUAUGUGCGACUUCAAAAGUAACAUCACAACCUACCCCCUGCCUUAGUUUCUUCAACUGAACCGUGGGGGUGAUAGUGACCGUGACACAUGGCAGUGCUUGCAGCUUUCAAGAUCGUGGCCAGGGCGCUCUCCGUGUCUAUGAAGCAGUCGGUUCCCUUUAGCUGCCAUUUCCCUCUUACUUUACGGUAUUAAAUUCAAGUUAGUACUUUCCUUCAGCCAACUCACCGCCAAGCGUCCUUCCUGAUUGGGAUAAAUCCAUUUUCUCCCAAAUCUUUGGGGCCUUUUCUGGAUGACCUAGUUCAGUCACUCAACCAAUGAGUUCAGGGGUGUCUGUGGGGGAUCUGCUCAUGCCAGGUAUGGGAGGUGGUAGGGAGAACACCCGAGAUACAUAAGAAAUGGAGUUCCCGCUGUGGCGCAACGGGAUCGGCAGUGUCUUGGGAGAACUGGGUGGCAGGUUUGAUCUCCAGCCUGGCACAGUGGGUGAAGGAUCCAGCGUUGCCACAGCUGCAGCUUAGGUCAUGACUGUGGCUCAGCUCUGACCCCUGGCCCAGGAACUCCAUAGGCUGCAGGGUGGCCCCAAAUGAAAAAAUGAAACAAAACAAAAACAUAAGGAAUGCUCACUUGCAUUUGAAAGCCAGAUACAGAUUUUCUUUUCCCCUUGUGGCAAGUCAGAUAAAGGGACACAAUCAGGGAGUUCCCACUGGCUCAGUGCAUUAAGAACCCGAUCAGUAUCCAUGAGGAUGUGGGUUUGAUCCCUGGCCUCGCUCAGUGGCUUAAGGAUCUGGCAUUGCUGCAAGUGGCAGUGUGGGUCACAGACAUGGCUCAGAUCUGGCGCUGCUGUGGCUGUGGUGUAGGCGGGCCACUGCAGCUCUGAUUCAACCCCUAGCCUGGGAACUUCCAUAUAACGUGGGUGCAGCU
Molecule: long non-coding RNA, 6373 nt
Filed under: Sus scrofa (pig)
Lineage: Eukaryota; Metazoa; Chordata; Mammalia; Artiodactyla; Suidae
Description: lncRNA (ENSSSCG00060025472.1)
Source: RNAcentral